UUGCGCCACAAUAAACAAAUUAAAUAAGUGUAGUCAUAUAGGAGUAUCUUCAACUAUAUCUUCAACUUCACCAGACAAUCGCACAGUCCUGAUCCGAUUAACAGUUCUUGAGUGUUUCAGGGUAUCUCCAGGUCAGGUGCUCAAUGUGUAGGACGAGUCCAGGCAAUUCCCAAGUCCAGCUGAGAAGCAAACUAAAUGUAGAGGGGCCCCAUACCUAUCCCACAAACCCUUUCAGGGGCUCUUGUGACGGGGCCCAGAGUGUGUGGGCUGGAAGCUGGCCUCCAAGCCUCUCCCAUAGUUAGUGGCACUGAAGCUUCUAUCGCACCCCCAAUUGGUUAUCCCUGGAUGUCUCUUUACCUGCUCGACAUCAUAGCAAAAGUGAGCUGUGAUUAGGGUUGCCACAUUUCUUGGAAAAAAUAGCGGCCAUGCUAAUUU
Pelobates cultripes (western spadefoot toad) is the source of this 435-nucleotide non-coding RNA. NCBI's taxonomy places the organism in Eukaryota, Metazoa, Chordata, Amphibia, Anura, Pelobatidae. The record is from the annotation of a GenBank genome assembly.